RNAcentral lists this ribosomal RNA (976 nucleotides) under uncultured Actinomycetes bacterium. RNAcentral's name for it is "bacterial SSU rRNA". It matches the Rfam family "Bacterial small subunit ribosomal RNA", at positions 61 to 1046 of the family's 1533-position model. Lineage: Bacteria; Bacillati; Actinomycetota; Actinomycetes. The record is from RNAcentral.
GUCGAACGAUGAAGCUGGAGCUUGCUCCGGUGGAUUAGUGGCGAACGGGUGAGUAACACGUGAGCAAUCUGCCCUUGACUCUGGGAUAACUGCGGGAAACUGUAGCUAAUACCGGAUACGACCCUUGGAGGCAUCUCUGGGGGUGGAAAGAAUUUCGGUCAAGGAUGAGCUCGCGGCCUAUCAGCUAGUUGGUGAGGUAAUGGCUCACCAAGGCGACGACGGGUAGCCGGCCUGAGAGGGUGACCGGCCACACUGGGACUGAGACACGGCCCAGACUCCUACGGGAGGCAGCAGUGGGGAAUAUUGCACAAUGGGCGAAAGCCUGAUGCAGCAACGCCGCGUGAGGGAUGAAGGCCUUCGGGUUGUAAACCUCUUUUAGCAGGGAAGAAGCGAAAGUGACGGUACCUGCAGAAAAAGCACCGGCUAACUACGUGCCAGCAGCCGCGGUAAUACGUAGGGUGCAAGCGUUGUCCGGAAUUAUUGGGCGUAAAGAGCUCGUAGGCGGUUUGUCGCGUCUGCUGUGAAAAUCCGAGGCUCAACCUCGGACCUGCAGUGGGUACGGGCAAACUAGAGUGCGGUAGGGGAGAUGGGAAUUCCUGGUGUAGCGGUGGAAUGCGCAGAUAUCAGGAGGAACACCAAUGGCGAAGGCACAUCUCUGGGCCGUAACUGACGCUGAGGAGCGAAAGCGUGGGGAGCGAACAGGAUUAGAUACCCUGGUAGUCCACGCCGUAAACGGUGGGUGCUAGUUGUGGGUUCCAUUCCACGGAAUCCGUGACGGAGUUAACACAUUAAGCACCCCGCCUGGGGAGUACGGUCGCAAGACUAAAACUCAAAGGAAUUGACGGGGACCCGCACAAGCGGUGGAUGAUGUGGUUUAAUUCGAUGCAACGCGAAAAACCUUACCCACCUUUGACAUGUACGGAAUUCGCCAGAGAUGGCUUAGUGCUCGAAAGAGAGCCGUAACACAGUGCUGCAU